UGGGGAAUUUUGCACAAUGGGCGGAAGCCUGAUGCAGCGACGCCGUGUGGGGGAUGAAGGCCUUCGGGUUGUAAACUCCUUUCGUCAGGGACGAAGUUUGUUUGACGGUACCUGGAUAAGAAGCACCGGCUAACUACGUGCCAGCAGCCGCGGUAAUACGUAGGGUGCGAGCGUUGUCCGGAUUUACUGGGCGUAAAGGGCUCGUAGGUGGAGUGUUGCGUCGUCUGUGUAAUCCAGGGGCUUAACUUUUGGUUGGCAGGCGAUACGGGCAUUGCUUGAGUGCUGUAGGGGAGACUGGAAUUCCUGGUGUGGCGGUGAAAUGCGCAGAUAUCAGAAGGAACACCGAUGGCGAAGGCAGGUCUCUGGGCAGUUACUGACGCUGAGGAGCGAGAGCAUGGGUAGCGAACAGG
Molecule: ribosomal RNA, 410 nt
Filed under: bacterium
Lineage: Bacteria
Description: partial 16S ribosomal RNA
Rfam family: Bacterial small subunit ribosomal RNA
Source: RNAcentral